GACGAACGCUGGCGGCGUGCUUAACACAUGCAAGUCGAACGGAAAGGCCCUGCUUUUGUGGGGUGCUCGAGUGGCGAACGGGUGAGUAACACGUGAGUAACCUGCCCUUGACUUUGGGAUAACUUCAGGAAACUGGGGCUAAUACCGGAUAGGAGCUCCUGCUGCAUGGUGGGGGUUGGAAAGUUUCGGCGGUUGGGGAUGGACUCGCGGCGUAUCAGCUUGUUGGUGGGGUAGUGGCUUACCAAGGCUUUGACGGGUAGCCGGCCUGAGAGGGUGGCCGGACACAUUGGGACUGAGAUACGGCACAGACUAGUACGGGACGCAGCGGUGGGGAAUAGUGUACAAUGGGCGGAAGCCUGAUGCAGCAACGCCGCGUGCGGGAUGAGGGCCUGCGGGUUGGAAACCGCUUUCGUCUUUGACGAAGUGUGAGUGACGGUAAUGGGUAAAGAAGCACCGGCUAACUACGUG
This 468-nucleotide ribosomal RNA is filed under the name uncultured bacterium. RNAcentral's name for it is "partial 16S ribosomal RNA". It matches the Rfam family "Bacterial small subunit ribosomal RNA", at positions 28 to 507 of the family's 1533-position model. The record is from RNAcentral.